UCAGGAUGAACGCUAGCUACAGGCUUAACACAUGCAAGUCGAGGGGCAGCAUUGGGGUAGCAAUACUCAGAUGGCGACCGGCGCACGGGUGAGUAACACGUAUCCAACCUGCCGCUUACUCGGGGAUAGCCUUUCGAAAGAAAGAUUAAUACCCGAUGGUAUAAAGAGUUCGCAUGUUCUCUUUAUUAAAGAAUUUCGGUAAGCGAUGGGGAUGCGUUCCAUUAGAUAGUUGGCGGGGUAACGGCCCACCAAGUCUACGAUGGAUAGGGGUUCUGAGAGGAAGGUCCCCCCACAUUGGAACUGAGACACGGUCCAAACUCCUACGGGAGGCAGCAGUGAGGAAUAUUGGUCAAUGGACGAGAGUCUGAACCAGCCAAGUAGCGUGAAGGAUGACUGCCCUAUGGGUUGUAAACUUCUUUUAUAAGGGAAUAAAGUGAGGGACGUGUCCCUUUUUGUAUGUACCUUAUGAAUAAGGAUCGGCUAACUCCGUGCCAGCAGCAGC
This 502-nucleotide ribosomal RNA is filed under the name uncultured bacterium. RNAcentral describes it as "bacterial SSU rRNA". It matches the Rfam family "Bacterial small subunit ribosomal RNA", at positions 24 to 518 of the family's 1533-position model. The record is from RNAcentral.